Eucalyptus grandis is the source of this 464-nucleotide long non-coding RNA. RefSeq lists it as uncharacterized. The transcript is spliced from 3 exons. Lineage: Eukaryota; Viridiplantae; Streptophyta; Magnoliopsida; Myrtales; Myrtaceae. The record is from RefSeq and is a predicted model, not a curated record.
CUCGAAGCUAAUGGCGUUGUCGAGGUUUUGUACAACGUUGCUGCUCCUCUCUCCUUUUAAUCCGCCAAGUCAAAUCUGAUUAUAUGGUGAUUCGGUUGAAAACGGCUGACCCGCCAGCUCCUCCACCUCCGCCUCUGCCUCCGCCUCCGCCUCCACCUCCACCUCCUCCUCCACCCACAGAUUGCGAAGAAGCUUGCAAUGCUCGGUGCCAGCAGUCGGCGUUGUGCCAGAGGAGAUGUGAGAUCUGCUGUGACCGCUGCCAUUGCGUGCCGUCGGGAACUUCCGGCCACUACGAUGGCUGCCCUUGCUAUUCCAACAGUUUUACCUAUACAGGCAAGCAUAGAUGUCCCUAGGGGGGGUUUCAACUUCAAUUUAGCUUUGCCACGGAAUGGUUUGUAUUUCGUUAAUGUAUAGCUAAGUCUCCAGACUUUUGCAUGAUCUAUCUUAAUAAUAAAGACGUUUGU